CCUACGGGAGGCAGCAGUAAGGAAUAUUGGUCAAUGGGCGCAAGCCUGAACCAGCCAUGCCGCGUGCAGGAAGACGGCCCUACGGGUUGUAAACUGCUUUUGUACCGGAAUAAACCCCCGAUCGUGAUCGGGGCUGAAUGUACGGUAAGAAUAAGGAUCGGCUAACUCCGUGCCAGCAGCCGCGGUAAUACGGAGGAUCCAAGCGUUAUCCGGAUUUAUUGGGUUUAAAGGGUGCGUAGGCGGCCUGUUAAGUCAGGGGUGAAAGACGGUAGCUUAACUAUCGCAGUGCCUUUGAUACUGACGGGCUUGAAUGUACUUGAGGUAGGCGGAAUGUGACAAGUAGCGGUGAAAUGCAUAGAUAUGUCACAGAACACCAAUUGCGAAGGCAGCUUACUAAAGUAUGAUUGACGCUGAGGCACGAAAGCGUGGGGAUCAAACAGGAUUAGAUACCCUGGUAGUCCACGCCCUAAACGAUGAAUACUCGAUGUUGGCGAUAUACGGCCAGCGUCUAAGCGAAAGCGUUAAGUAUUCCACCUGGGGAGUACGCCCGCAAGGGUGAACUCAAAUGAAUUGACCGGNGUGAGAGNGCGACGACGACGACGAGGGAGGAGG
This 612-nucleotide ribosomal RNA is filed under the name uncultured bacterium. RNAcentral describes it as "bacterial SSU rRNA". It matches the Rfam family "Bacterial small subunit ribosomal RNA", at positions 338 to 951 of the family's 1533-position model. The record is from RNAcentral.